This 73-nucleotide transfer RNA is filed under the name Stegodyphus mimosarum. It matches the Rfam family "tRNA". From Rfam's summary of the family: Transfer RNA (tRNA) molecules are approximately 80 nucleotides in length. Their secondary structure includes four short double-helical elements and three loops (D, anti-codon, and T loops). Lineage: Eukaryota; Metazoa; Arthropoda; Arachnida; Araneae; Eresidae. The record is from Rfam by way of RNAcentral.
GCCUUUGUGGUGUAGUGGUCAGCACGCUCGAUGUAUAUUCGAGAUUUCCGUGGUUCGAGUCCUGGCAAGGGCA